CCUACGGGAGGCAGCAGUGGGGAAUAUUGGGCAAUGGAGGAAACUCUGACCCAGCGACGCCGCGUGCGGGAUGAAGGCCUUCGGGUUGUAAACCGCUUUCAGCAAGGAAGAAGCGAAAGUGACGGUACUUGCAGAAGAAGCACCGGCUAACUAUGUGCCAGCAGCCGCGGUAAUACAUAGGGUGCAAGCGUUGUCCGGAAUUAUUGGGCGUAAAGAGCUCGUAGGUGGUUCGUCACGUCGGAUGUGAAAAUCUGGGGCUUAACCCCAGACCUGCAUUCGAUACGGGCGAGCUAGAGUGUGGUAGGGGAGACUGGAAUUCCUGGUGUAGCGGUGGAAUGCGCAGAUACCAGGAGGAACACCAAUGGCGAAGGCAGGUCUCUGGGCCAUUACUGACACUGAGGAGCGAAAGCGUGGGGAGCGAACAGGAUUAGAUACCCUGGUAGUCCACGCCGUAAACGGUGGGCACUAGUUGUGGGAACCUUCCACGGUUUCUGCGACGCAGCUAACGCAUUAAGUGCCCCGCCUGGGGAGUACGAUCGCAAGAUUAAAACUCAAAUGAAUUGACGG
This 567-nucleotide ribosomal RNA is filed under the name uncultured bacterium. RNAcentral describes it as "bacterial SSU rRNA". It matches the Rfam family "Bacterial small subunit ribosomal RNA", at positions 338 to 916 of the family's 1533-position model. The record is from RNAcentral.